GAUGAACGCUAGCGGGAGGCCUAACACAUGCAAGCCGAGCGGUAUUGUUUCUUCGGAAAUGAGAGAGCGGCGUACGGGUGCGUAACACGUGUGCAACCUGCCUUUAUCUGGGGGAUAGCCUUUCGAAAGGAAGAUUAAUACUCCAUAAUAUAUUGAACGGCAUCGUUUAAUAUUUAAAGCUCCGGCGGAUAGAGAUGGGCACGCGCAAGAUUAGCUAGUUGGUGAGGUAACGGCUCACCAAGGCGAUGAUCUUUAGGGGGCCUGAGAGGGUGAUCCCCCACACUGGUACUGAGACACGGACCAGACUCCUACGGGAGGCAGCAGUGAGGAAUAUUGGUCAAUGGGUGCAAGCCUGAACCAGCCAUCCCGGGUGAAGGACGACUGCCCUAUGGGUUGUAAACUUCUUUUGUAUAGGGAUAAACCUACCCUCGAGAGGGUAGCUGAAGGUACUAUACGAAUAAGCACCGGCUAACUCCGUG
RNAcentral lists this ribosomal RNA (479 nucleotides) under uncultured bacterium. Its description in RNAcentral is "partial 16S ribosomal RNA". It matches the Rfam family "Bacterial small subunit ribosomal RNA", at positions 28 to 507 of the family's 1533-position model. The record is from RNAcentral.